This 253-nucleotide ribosomal RNA is filed under the name uncultured bacterium. Its description in RNAcentral is "partial 16S ribosomal RNA". It matches the Rfam family "Bacterial small subunit ribosomal RNA", at positions 524 to 776 of the family's 1533-position model. The record is from RNAcentral.
UACAGAGGUCCCAAGCGUUGUUCGGAUUCACUGGGCGUAAAGGGUGCGUAGGUGGUGAGGUAAGUCGGAUGUGAAAGCUCCGAGCUCAACUCGGAAAUGGCAUUGGAAACUACCUUGCUCGAGGGUUUGAGGGGGGACUGGAAUACUUGGUGUAACAGUGAAAUGCGUAGAUAUCAAGUAGAACACCAGUGGCGAAGGCGAGUCCCUGGAAAACUCCUGACACUGAGGCACGAAAGCUAGGGGAGCGAAUGGG